This is a non-coding RNA of Triticum aestivum (bread wheat), 96 nucleotides long. The record is from Rfam. NCBI's taxonomy places the organism in Eukaryota, Viridiplantae, Streptophyta, Magnoliopsida, Poales, Poaceae.
CGUAGUUGCGAUGAGGAUAACGAGCUCCCUCUUCUGAAAGCAUUGACGACACCGCUGGCAGAAUCGAACCAAUUAAAUAUUGCCACCACUGAUUAA